AAGUGAGGGUUAAUAUAAUUUUUCUACUCCUAAUAUUGGUUUUUAUUUAGAAGAAUCAUAAACUACCGAAGUUUAAAGAGACUAUGCUUUUAGAUUCUAAGCCCAAUGAUUUGGGCAUAUAGUAAUGGGUAAAUCUUUUAUGAUUGGCACUGCAUACAUUAACGAAUUGGUAUGCAUGCUACAUAUACAAAAUUAAUUUGCAGAUCUAAAUUCAGAUGAUGUGAGAUUUAUCUAACUUCAUUUAUACACUGACAGUAUAGAAAAGUUAAUCCAUAUUAAUAGGAUAAAUCUUUUCUGUAUCGACACUGUAUACAUUAGUGGAUUUAGAUGCAUGCCACACACAUAAAAUCUCAGGGGUACCAAGUUAUAUUUCUAAAACCACAGGGGGCCAAGUGAUGUUAAGAGAAACUUCAAAGGAGGUUUCUAAUAUUAUUCCAACACAUAUUCAGUAGGCAAAAGAUACUAUUUCAAUUAUUUAGGUGGCAACGAGUUUUUUUUUGGCCUUAUCACUGCAUGUGAUACUCGUGUACAAGGACAAAACUAGGGGAUUAGGGCUGAAGUUUUAUAGAAUUCAAUUUUCCUCCCUUACAAAAUUACAUAUUGUCAAAUCAAAUAAUCUUGCUCCCGAAAAAACCUAAAGAUAUUUAUAUUAUA
Molecule: long non-coding RNA, 654 nt
Filed under: Coffea arabica (coffee)
Lineage: Eukaryota; Viridiplantae; Streptophyta; Magnoliopsida; Gentianales; Rubiaceae
Description: long non-coding RNA (CARA_LNC002530)
Source: RNAcentral